Non-coding RNA from Pelobates cultripes (western spadefoot toad), 936 nucleotides. The record is from the annotation of a GenBank genome assembly. NCBI's taxonomy places the organism in Eukaryota, Metazoa, Chordata, Amphibia, Anura, Pelobatidae.
UAUCUAUACAUUAUAUACACACCAUUCCCACGUUACUCUCUAUUAUAUACACACCAUUCCCACAUUACUCUCUAUCUAUAUAUUAUAUACACACCGUUCCCACGUUACUCUCUAUCUAUAUACACACCAUUCCCACAUUACUCUCUAUUAUAUACACACCAUUCCCACGUUACUCUUUAUCUAUACAUUAUAUACACACCAUUCCCACGUUACUCUCUAUUAUAUACACACCAUUCCCACAUUACUCUCUAUCUAUAUAUUAUAUACACACCGUUCCCACGUUACUCUCUAUCUAUAUACACACCAUUCCCACAUUACUCUCUAUUAUAUACACACCAUUCCCACGUUACUCUCUAUCUAUAUAUUAUAUACACACCGUUCCCACGUUACUCUCUAUCUAUACAUUAUAUACACACCGUUCCCACGUUACUCUCUAUCUAUACAUUAUAUACACACCAUUCCACGUUACUCUCUAUAUAUUAUACACACACCAUUCCACGUUACUCUCUAUAUAUUAUACACACACCAUUCCACGUUACUCUCUAUCUAUACAUUAUAUACACACACACCAUUCCCACGUUACUCUCUAUAUAUUAUACACACACCAUUCCACGUUACUCUCUAUCUAUACAUUAUAUACACACACACCAUUCCACGUUACUCUCUAUCUAUACAUUAUACACACACACACACACACACCAUUCCACGUUACUCUCUAUAUAUUAUACACACCCACCAUUCCACGUUACUCUCUAUAUAUUAUACACCCACCAUUCCACGUUACUCUCUAUAUAUUAUACACACACCAUUCCACGUUACUCUCUAUCUAUACAUUAUAUACACACACCAUUCAUUCCCUCGGUUCAUUAUCGCACUGUUUGCUUUAUAUAUACACAUGGCUGCACUCACACGAAUGAGAGUUUAUUUUGCUUUAUU